Non-coding RNA from Clarias gariepinus (North African catfish), 557 nucleotides. Lineage: Eukaryota; Metazoa; Chordata; Actinopteri; Siluriformes; Clariidae. The record is from the annotation of a RefSeq genome assembly.
UGUGUGUGCAGUGCAGUGAAACAGAGGUUUUUGUACGGCAGUUUCAUUAGAAUGUAUCACUGUGGUACACUUUUGGAGGAGGCUCCAGACUUCUCAUGAACAAGGCUCCCUCCGUGUCUCUCCUCCCUCCAUCCGGUUUACAGCUCUGUGAGGGAUCAGCCUCGCUGCUCUGCCUGCUGUCUGACUACUCUCCACAGGGGGCGCUGGUGAGCUGGACAGUGGAUGGCUCAGAGGUGAAGAAUGGGGUUCUGACCAGCACAGAAGAAGAUAAGAAUGGCCGUUACAGCCGGAGCAGCACCCUAACCCUCAGCAAAGACCUCUGGGAAAAGGGGGAGAAGUUUCUCUGUACUGUCUCACAUAACAAAAUCAAUUAUCCAGUUACGUUCAUAAAGAGUCAGUGUGAAGGCUAGUGGAUACUCAGAGUUUAACUCAGAGCUGCUUAUGAUCAUCUACAGUCGAGUUUCAGUUCUACACAAUGAUAAGAUUUCUGUCUUUACUCUCUUUACUGUCCCGCUUCUCUUCCUGUAGUUUCUGCUGAAAUAAAGCUGAGUUUUGGA